GUUCGAUGCGAUUUCGGUACAACAGGAAAAAAAUAAUAUAUUCUAUGCUCGGUUUCUUUUCAUUUAUUUUGAACAGACAGUAGUACAAAUUAAAAAAAAAUUCCACCUAGAUGUGAAAAUACUAAAUAUUAUUUCAUUAUGUUAUAAAUAUAAAAUCUGCAGUACAUAUAUACAUACAAGGAAUAAAUUCUUGAAAUAUAUUUGAUUUAGUUUAAAGGAAAAAACAGUGAGACACGUAAUGCGGCCUAUGCUGAGUUCCAGUUCAUUUUUGUGACAGGAUUAAUUUAUUCACAGAAAGGAAACUCAAAUGGCAGAAAGCGAAAUCCUAUUUGUUUUCUUUAUUUUACAAAAGCACAAUGUUUUGUUUUCAUUGUGAGUGUACACAAAUAAAAGCAGACCUUUAUACAGUGAUGCAUUAUUAAUAAGACAAUAAGUGUUUAAAGCUGAUUCUGCUGGUAUAAGGAAACAGUUGAGGUGAUCGUGUAGGUGCACAAACACACACACACACACAAACACACACAAAAGACAUCAGUUCCAGCAUUGCUAACUUGACAGCGCAGUUUAUUUUAUCAAAAUAAAAUACAGUGAACCAAACACCAGCGUGGCCGCCUCUGUGUCACCGUUGGAACGCGACUGAAACACAAAGCCUAUAAUUAACAAAAUUAUAAAUGCUAAAAUAGUUUAGCAUUCAGAUACGUUACAUCGCAUAUAUGUAAAUCAGAGGACCUCAGAUGAUGCUAACCCAGAGACAACAUACAGAACUACCACAUUUUGCUAUAAGUUUGAUUGCAUAAUUGCUGUUAAUAGUGUUAAUCUUCUGUUUGUUUACGUCUUUUAUUGAUUUUUCUGAACAUUUCUGCCAUAUGCACAUGAACUGACAGUCACCACUGAUAAGCUACUACUAAAUAUUGUAGAAACUUAAUUUUCUGUAAAGUUGCUUUGUAAUGAUUUGUAUCAUAAAAAGCGCUAUACAAAUAAACUUGAAUUGAAUUAAACUUGAAUGUAAAUAUUAUGUAACAUUUGGAUCUGUGCUGAAUAUGAGAGAUAGGAUACAUGAGCACAAAGCUCCAUUUUGCAAACAGUUGAGUGCACAAGCCUAUAAAGUAUACUCCUUUGUCAGUCUGUGAGAGACACAUUCAGAAUCAGCACAUGGUCACUGUCUAGUGGGCUUUGUUUUCAAGUGGGCAACUCAUGGCAUUCACUGUUCUUCUGCUGGCGGCCGGUUAUCAAACAGCAUUGCAUUGCUCCGGGUUCCCCCUUCUGGAUUGGGGGUGAAUUGCCUGUAUUCGUUGUAAGGCCUCAUGCACCGAACUGAGAUGCCUGUACCGUGAUGGUUCGUACGGAUACAUGUAUUGUUCCACCCCUAAUAAAUGAGAGCUGUCAUUAUAGAAAUAUAUAUAUAUAUAUAUAUACACACACACUCACCUAAAGGAUUAUUAGGAACACCAUACUAAUGCCAUUGAUUCAACAAGGUGCUGAAAGCAUUCUUUAGAAAUGUUGGCCCAUAUUGAUAGGAUAGCAUCUUGCAGUUGAUGGAGAUUUGUGGGAUGCACAUCCAGGGCACGAAGCUCCCAUUCCACCACAUCCCAAAGAUGCUCUAUUGGGUUGAGAUCUGGUGACUGUGGGGGCCAUUUUAGUACGGUGAACUCAUUGUCAUGUUCAAGAAACCAAUUUGAAAUGAUUCGAGCUUUGUGACAUGGUGCAUUAUCCUGCUGGAAGUAGCCAUCAGAGGAUGGGUACAUGGUGGUCAUAAAGGGAUGGACAUGGUCAGAAACAAUGCUCAGGUAGGCCGUGGCAUUUAAACGAUGCCCAAUUGGCACUAAGGGGCCUAAAGUGUGCCAAGAAAACAUCCCCCACACCAUUACACCACCACCAGCCUGCACAGUGGUAACAAGGCAUGAUGGAUCCAUGUUCUCAUUCUGUUUACGCCAAAUUCUGACUCUACCAUCUGAAUAUCUCAACAGAAAUCGAGACUCAUCAGACCAGGCAACAUUUUCAGUCUUCAACUGUCCAAUUUUGGUGAGCUCGUGCAAAUUGUAGCCUCUUUUUCCUAUUUGUAGUGGAGAUGAGUGGUACCCGGUGGGGUCUUCUGCUGUUGUAGCCCAUCCGCCUCAAGGUUGUGUGUGUUGUGGCUUCACAAAUGCUUUGCUGCAUACCUCGGUUGUAACGAGUGGUUAUUUCAGUCAAAGUUGCUCUUCUAUCAGCUUGAAUCAGUCAGCCCAUUCUCCUCUGACCUCUAGCAUCAACAAGGUAUUUUCGCCCACAGGACUGCCACAUACUGGAUGUUUUUCCCUUUUCACACCAUUCUUUGUAAACCCUAGAAAUGGUUGUGCGUGAAAAUCCCAGUAACUGAGCAGAUUGUGAAAUACUCAGACCGGCCCGUCUGGCACCAACAACCAUGCCAUGCUCAAAAUUGCUUAAAUCACCUUUCUUUCCCAUUCUGACAUUCAGUUUGGAGUUCAGGAGAUUGUCUUGACCAGGAUCACACCUAAAUGCAUUGAAGCAACUGCCAUGUGAUUGGUUGAUUAGAUAAUUGCAUUAAUGAGAAAUUGAACAGGUGUUCCUAAUAAUCCUUUAGGUGUGUAUAUAUAUAUAUAUAU
Long non-coding RNA from Cyprinus carpio carpio, 2600 nucleotides. NCBI's taxonomy places the organism in Eukaryota, Metazoa, Chordata, Actinopteri, Cypriniformes, Cyprinidae. The record is from Ensembl.